RNAcentral lists this ribosomal RNA (438 nucleotides) under uncultured bacterium. RNAcentral describes it as "bacterial SSU rRNA". It matches the Rfam family "Bacterial small subunit ribosomal RNA", at positions 954 to 1392 of the family's 1533-position model. The record is from RNAcentral.
GCACAACGCGAAGAACCUUACCCACCUUUGACAUGUACGGAAUCCUUUAGAGAUAGAGGAGUGCUCGAAAGAGAGCCGUAACACAGGUGCUGCAUGGCUGUCGUCAGCUCGUGUCGUGAGAUGUUGGGUUAAGUCCCGCAACGAGCGCAACCCUUGCCAUUAGUUGCUACAUUUAGUUGAGCACUCUAAUGGGACUGCCGGUGACAAACCGGAGGAAGGUGGGGAUGACGUCAAGUCCUCAUGGCCCUUAUAGGUGGGGCUACACACGUCAUACAAUGGCUGGUACAAAGGGUUGCCAACCCGCGAGGGGGAGCUAAUCCCAUAAAGCCAGUCGUAGUCCGGAUCGCAGUCUGCAGCUCGACUGCGUGAAGUCGGAAUCGCUAGUAAUCGUGGAUCAGAAUGUCACGGUGAAUACGUUCCCGGGUCUUGUACACACCG